Molecule: non-coding RNA, 102 nt
Organism: Drosophila melanogaster (fruit fly)
Lineage: Eukaryota; Metazoa; Arthropoda; Insecta; Diptera; Drosophilidae
Source: Ensembl
UUCUUUGUUUUUAUUCCCUGUCAGAGAGUAUAUUGAUUUUAGGUGGACAUUUGCGACCAUAUAAAAUAUAUAUAUUCCUGAUAAAGAAUAUUUAAUAUAUCU